Molecule: non-coding RNA, 74 nt
Organism: Caulobacter vibrioides
Lineage: Bacteria; Pseudomonadati; Pseudomonadota; Alphaproteobacteria; Caulobacterales; Caulobacteraceae
Source: Rfam
CGGAGUGUGGCUCAGUCUGGUAGAGCACUGCGUUCGGGACGCAGGGGUCGCAGGUUCAAAUCCUGCCACUCCGA